CGCUACUGACCCGAGGCGCCGGCAGUCUCCGGACCCGUGCUAGGGCGGCGGUUACGGUGCUCUGCGGAGCAGUGCAGCCGAGGUCGAACCUCCCAAGACGGCCCGGGACCGCUCGGCGCGGCAAGCGUCCUCGGUCUCGCGGCGAGUCCACCGCGGCGGCCUAUAACACGACACCCCGAGGGGCGGCGCUACCUUUCCGCCGGGCUUCUGACCGCCGCGAAACCGGUCGUAGCACUCGACCGCGGAGAAAGUGCACCCUGCCACGCGGACGUCCGCUGGCCGGGUCCUUGCGGAUCCGAACUUUGCGGACUUUCCCGGGGGCGGCCGG
Molecule: ribosomal RNA, 328 nt
Filed under: Corbicula sp. CFG1b
Lineage: Eukaryota; Metazoa; Mollusca; Bivalvia; Venerida; Cyrenidae
Description: eukaryotic LSU rRNA
Source: RNAcentral